GACGAACGCUGGCGGCGUGCUUAACACAUGCAAGUCGAACGGAAAGGCCCUGCUUUUGUGGGGUGCUCGAGUGGCGAACGGGUGAGUAACACGUGAGUAACCUGCCCUUGACUUUGGGAUAACUUCAGGAAACUGGGGCUAAUACCGGAUAGGAGCUCCUGCUGCAUGGUGGGGGUUGGAAAGUUUCGGCGGUUGGGGAUGGACUCGCGGCUUAUCAGCUUGUUGGUGGGGUAGUGGCUUACCAAGGCUUUGACGGGUAGCCGGCCUGAGAGGGUGACCGGCCACAUUGGGACUGAGAUACGGCCCGGACUGCUACGGGAGGCAGGAGGGGGGAAUGGUGCACGAUGGGCGGAGGCAUGAUGCAGCAACGCCGGGUGCGGGAAGACGGCCGUCGGGUUGUAAACCGCUUUCGCCUGUGACGGAGCGUGAGUACGGGUAAUGGGUAAAGAGGCACCGCCAACCUACGG
This 467-nucleotide ribosomal RNA is filed under the name uncultured bacterium. RNAcentral describes it as "partial 16S ribosomal RNA". It matches the Rfam family "Bacterial small subunit ribosomal RNA", at positions 28 to 506 of the family's 1533-position model. The record is from RNAcentral.